CCGAAAUGGAGUGACUCUUUUACCCCUGGUCUUUGUUGUGAAUUACAAUUUGCCUAUCAAUUUAGUGCGUUGUUAUUCGACUGUGCUUAUCGUCAGGUUGUCGUUUUGCAAUAGAAGGGCGUGGAUCAGCAGAGGAAGGCGAUACAGCUAUUACAUCGUUGGGAUCAUCACGGGGAGAAGGGAAGAGCUUGGUUUCUGUUCGAUUUUGAUAAAUAGUCGGUUGUUCUUUCUGUGGAUUGUGAAAGAUUUCACAUUAUUGUCUGGUAGAUUUCUAGGAUUUUUUGGUUUUGCUGGGGGUUUUUGUUGUCGUUCGCUUUGAAUUGAUAUGGGUUUUCAUGUUUUAGGGUUUUUUUUUGUUGUGGAGUUUGCGAUUUGAGUGAUUGGUUGGAAGAGGUUGAAGGUUCUAUGCAAAGGAGUAUUUCGAUUGUUCUUCUGCCAUUGUUCCUGUAUCUGUUAUUUGGUAUCGGUUUGGUGUUCUAUUCUUAUACAGAUAUUAGGAACUGUGAGCUGUUAAAUUUUCCAAGUAUUUUGAGUUCAGACUGGUGAUUGAGCAAAGGAGAAAAGAACGGCUUUGGAUCUGGGUUUGUGAUUGAAAUUAUGUGCCUGUUAAUUCAGACGUUGAAUCGAUCAGUAUCUCGACCUGACAUGAGCGUCAAAGCGUUCAUCAUUAGCAAGCAAACAAACCCGCGACAUCGCGGGAGGAGUUGCCUAGUUAUUAACAGUUCGUAGAAAGAAAAAAAAAAUAGUAUUAACGCAAUCUAUUUAUUGACCCGAUAUGUAUUCUCAUGCUACAAGCUAGAGAUUUGGGCCCACUAUACUCUUAAAUCUUAAUUGUGCCGGUCCGAGUUACAGACGAUUAUUGGUUGGCCCAAACCAACCCCAACUUCGAACAUUCAAAACAACCCGUACCGUUUGACACCAUGAAAGGAAUGAUUUAUCAAUAUUAACAGAAUUCACUCAUUAUGUGUGGA
Molecule: long non-coding RNA, 971 nt
Organism: Rosa chinensis
Lineage: Eukaryota; Viridiplantae; Streptophyta; Magnoliopsida; Rosales; Rosaceae
Exons: 4
Source: RefSeq, a predicted model, not a curated record